AUUGAACGCUGGCGGCAGGCCUAACACAUGCAAGUCGAGCGGAUGAAGGUAGCUUGCUCCUGGAUUCAGCGGCGGACGGGUGAGUAAUGCCUAGGAAUCUGCCUGGUAGUGGGGGAUAACGUCCGGAAACGGGCGCUAAUACCGCAUACGUCCUGAGGGAGAAAGUGGGGGAUCUUCGGACCUCACGCUAUCAGAUGAGCCUAGGUCGGAUUAGCUAGUUGGUGGGGUAAAGGCCUACCAAGGCGACGAUCCGUAACUGGUCUGAGAGGAUGAUCAGUCACACUGGAACUGAGACACGGUCCAGACUCCUACGGGAGGCAGCAGUGGGGAAUAUUGGACAAUGGGCGAAAGCCUGAUCCAGCCAUGCCGCGUGUGUGAAGAAGGUCUUCGGAUUGUAAAGCACUUUAAGUUGGGAGGAAGGGCAGUAAGUUAAUACCUUGCUGUUUUGACGUUACCAACAGAAUAAGCACCGGCUAACUUCGU
This 483-nucleotide ribosomal RNA is filed under the name uncultured bacterium. RNAcentral describes it as "partial 16S ribosomal RNA". It matches the Rfam family "Bacterial small subunit ribosomal RNA", at positions 30 to 506 of the family's 1533-position model. The record is from RNAcentral.